CAGACAUCUGCUCCAGCCUAUUCUUAGAUUGCUGCUCCAAGACAUAGGAAAUGAGAGAGUAGCUCUGGGCUAUAAUUGAAGGGCUGGUCUUACAGAUGAUAAAAGCCCAAGGCCUGCCCAAACACAGCUUUCUCAGGAAUUGCCAGAACCCAGAGGCUUACAUCUUGAAAUCUCUCCAGACUGUUCCCCAAGAAUCUUUUUCUGCACCCCUUACUUGUCUCUUAUGCUGCCUCUUCAGAAAACAGAAAUCAGAAAAGGCUCUCCCUCUACCCAUUGCAAAGAACAAGAAAUGUCUCAAAGGACAAGAGGGAAACUGGAGAAAGCCUUAUGGAAGUCAUGCAACCCAAAGGCAGCAUAGCAUGGUAGACAAGGACUAAAUGAAAGAGACAGAGGAACUAAAAUGGUAGCAUGAUUCCUUGCUGAGAUUGACUGGCAAUUCCACCCACGAUGCUUUGUCAUGGGUAGACUGCAACUAGGUAAAGUCAGAAGUGAACCAAAUAAUCACAAAAAAAGUUGGAAUGGAUCUUAGAAGCCAUCUCUUGAAUAACACCCUUAAUACAACACACCUAAAAAGUGAUUAUACCCUCUUUUUCCUCCAGUGAGCAAGAAGCCAUUACUCCCUAAAACAGCUGGUUCCAUGUUUGGAGAGCUCUUAUUGUUGGGAAGUUUUUCCUG
Molecule: long non-coding RNA, 675 nt
Filed under: Monodelphis domestica (gray short-tailed opossum)
Lineage: Eukaryota; Metazoa; Chordata; Mammalia; Didelphimorphia; Didelphidae
Description: lncRNA (ENSMODG00000040231.1)
Source: RNAcentral